GACGAACGCUGGCGGCGUGCUUAACACAUGCAAGUCGAACGGAAAGGCCCUGCUUUUGUGGGGUGCUCGAGUGGCGAACGGGUGAGUAACACGUGAGUAACCUGCCACUGCCUUUGGGAUAACUUCAGGAAACUGGGGCUAAUACCGGAUAGGAGCUCCUGCUGCUUGGUGGGGGCUGGAAAGUUUCGGCGGUUGGGGAUGGACUCGCGGCUUAUCAGCUUGUUGGUGGGGUAGUGGCUUACCAAGACUUUGACGGGUAGCCGGGCUGGGAGGGUGACCGGCCACGUUGGGACUGGGCUACGGCCCAGCCUCGUAUGGUAGGCAGGGGUGGGGAGUAGUGCACUAUGGGCUGAAGCCUGAUGCAGCCACGCCGCGUGCGGGGUGACGGCCUUCGGGUUGUAAUGCGCUUUCGCCUGUGACGAAGCGUGAGUGACGGUAAUGGGUAAAGAAGCACCGGCUAACUACGUG
Molecule: ribosomal RNA, 468 nt
Filed under: uncultured bacterium
Lineage: Bacteria
Description: partial 16S ribosomal RNA
Rfam family: Bacterial small subunit ribosomal RNA
Source: RNAcentral